AUACGGAAGGUCCGGGCGUUAUCCGGAUUUAUUGGGUUUAAAGGGAGCGCAGGCGGAGAUGCAAGCGUGACGUCAAAUUUCGGGGCUCAACCCCGUCUCGCGUCGCGAACUGCGUCCCUUGGUUGCGGGAAGGGGAGGCGGAACUCGUGGUGUAGCGGUGAAAUGCAUAGAUAUCACGAAGAACUCCGAUCGCGAAGGCAGCCUUCCGGCCCGUCAACGACGCUCAUGCUCGAAGGUGCGGGUAUCAAACAGGAUUAGAUACCCUGGUAGUCCGCACAGUAAACGAUGGACACCCGCGGUUUGGCCUGUAUGGCUGAGCCGCCGAGCGAAAGCGUUAAGUGUCCCACCUGGGGAGUACGCCGGCAACGGUGAAACUCAAAUGAAUUGACGGGG
Molecule: ribosomal RNA, 393 nt
Filed under: uncultured bacterium
Lineage: Bacteria
Description: partial 16S ribosomal RNA
Rfam family: Bacterial small subunit ribosomal RNA
Source: RNAcentral